UUCCCUCUCUCUCUCACUUGACCAUGGACGCGCUCUCUCUCUCCUCCCCUCCCCUAUCCUUAAACCCUCUCUCCGCCAACCUGCUUUCCCUCAAGUGCCCUACCCCUCUCUGCAAACCUCCCACUUUCUCUCUCCGACCUUCCACAUCCCCACAAUCUUUCAAAUGCUCACCACUUGGUUCCCACUACUUACGCAAAACCCCCAAAACCCAAGUCGUCCACAACACUCUUAACAUGGCGGCCCCGCAGGCGCCGCCACCGGCCAGGAGCGGCGUGGGCGACGGCGACGUCAUGGGGAUGCUGUUCAGGGAGAGGAUCGUCUUCUUGGGGCACGAAAUCGACGAUUUCGUGGCCGACUUGGUUAUCAGUCAGUUGCUCCUGCUGGACGCUCAGGACCCGACUAAGGAUAUCAAGCUCUUCAUCAAUUCGCCCGGUGGGUCCCACAGUGCGGCAAUGGCUCUCUACGAUGUCAUAAGGGUUGUAAGGGCUGAUGUUUCUACAGUUGCAAUGGGCAUUGCGGCAUCAUCAGCUUCAAUAAUCCUUGGUGCUGGCACUAAAGGCAAGCGCCUCGCGAUGCCCAAUGCACGGAUAAUGAUGCGUCAACCUUUGGGAGGUGAAAGUGGACCGGUUACCGAAUUGGAAAUUGAAACCAAGGAGCUCAAGCAAUACAAGGCUAAUGUCAUAAAAAUCAUAUCGGAUAUCACUGGGCACACAUUGGAACAGGUUGAGAAAGACAUUGAUGAAGAUCGCUACAUGUCUCCUAUUGAAGCUGUUGAAUAUGGAAUAAUUGAUGAUGUUAUUGAUAGAGAUAGCAUUGUACCACUUAUGCCUAUUCCAGAAUUUCGGAGAGAUAAAAGGUUCCCUAAUAAAUUUUCCAAUAUCGUGGACACCCUAGAGCCAAAUGUCCCUGAUGACGAGAUAUAUUAGCUGGAGGCCCCACUAAUACAGGUGGGUGUUUGGCUGCUUGUGAUGUUGCCUCCUCAUAUGACCUAGAAGUCGAAGACCUCAACAAACUCUCAAGUCAAGACUUGACUAUCAGCAGGUGGUUCGGCUUUUCACUUUGAUGUCCCAGCAAAUGGACUUCUGCUACAAAUGGGCUGGACGGGAGCAAAUACUUAGCAGCGUCGUGGUUUAGGAGUUAUUUAGACUUCGUAAUUCUAUUGUUUUCCCAUUUCGUGAAAUUAUUUUCGGAAAAGACUUUGAUUUUUCUCUCUUUAGAUUUCAUAAUUCUAUGAUUUUCCCAUUUUGUGAAA
RNA transcript from Rhododendron vialii, 1252 nucleotides. RefSeq lists it as uncharacterized. Lineage: Eukaryota; Viridiplantae; Streptophyta; Magnoliopsida; Ericales; Ericaceae. The transcript has 4 exons. The record is from RefSeq and is a predicted model, not a curated record.